This 438-nucleotide long non-coding RNA is filed under the name Sus scrofa (pig). RNAcentral describes it as "lncRNA (ENSSSCG00015020965.1)". The record is from RNAcentral. Lineage: Eukaryota; Metazoa; Chordata; Mammalia; Artiodactyla; Suidae.
GCUGUGGCUAAUCACAAUCUCUGAAUGCGCAGCACAACCAUCUGACAGGCGGCUCUCCUCUCCCUCAGCCUGGAGAUGGUCCCAGAUUGUCAUGAGACAGACCACCUUGCUCCUAGUGGCACACAGGACGUACACAAUGGCUGCGCAUGGAGUUAAUGACAUGAAAGUGCCACACUGACGUCUGCCCGUCCUGAGUAGCUGUUAACCCCGGGCAUUUUAUUGCCCCAUUUGCCAGGUCUCUCAUCUCAGCCGCCUACGAAGGUCAAAUCCUGCAUAUUUACGCCAAACUUGAGAGUUGACCAAGUGCCUUUCCCAUGCAUCUUCCUGUUUCACCCCAAGCCGAAAGGUUUGGAAAACAUGCCACCCUUUUAACCUCGGAGAGACUUCUGCCUGGGAAAAGAAUGAAGUGAAAUAAACUCUUUUGAGGGCCUGUGAUCA